RNAcentral lists this ribosomal RNA (1532 nucleotides) under Klebsiella pneumoniae. RNAcentral's name for it is "partial 23S ribosomal RNA". It matches the Rfam family "Bacterial large subunit ribosomal RNA", at positions 167 to 1743 of the family's 2925-position model. The record is from RNAcentral. Lineage: Bacteria; Pseudomonadati; Pseudomonadota; Gammaproteobacteria; Enterobacterales; Enterobacteriaceae.
UAGGUUAACGAGGCGAACCGGGGGAACUGAAACAUCUAAGUACCCCGAGGAAAAGAAAUCAACCGAGAUUCCCCCAGUAGCGGCGAGCGAACGGGGAGCAGCCCAGAGUCUGAAUCAGCUUGUGUGUUAGUGGAACGGUCUGGAAAGUCCGACGGUACAGGGUGAUAGUCCCGUACACCAAAAUGCACAGGCUGUGAACUCGAAGAGUAGGGCGGGACACGUGGUAUCCUGUCUGAAUAUGGGGGGACCAUCCUCCAAGGCUAAAUACUCCUGACUGACCGAUAGUGAACCAGUACCGUGAGGGAAAGGCGAAAAGAACCCCGGCGAGGGGAGUGAAAAAGAACCUGAAACCGUGUACGUACAAGCAGUGGGAGCACCUUCGGGUGUGACUGCGUACCUUUUGUAUAAUGGGUCAGCGACUUAUAUUCUGUAGCAAGGUUAACCGUAUAGGGGAGCCGCAGGGAAACCGAGUCUUAACUGGGCGUUAAGUUGCAGGGUAUAGACCCGAAACCCGGUGAUCUAGCCAUGGGCAGGUUGAAGGUUGGGUAACACUAACUGGAGGACCGAACCGACUAAUGUUGAAAAAUUAGCGGAUGACUUGUGGCUGGGGGUGAAAGGCCAAUCAAACCGGGAGAUAGCUGGUUCUCCCCGAAAGCUAUUUAGGUAGCGCCUCGUGAACUCAUCUUCGGGGGUAGAGCACUGUUUCGGCUAGGGGGUCAUCCCGACUUACCAACCCGAUGCAAACUACGAAUACCGAAGAAUGUUAUCACGGGAGACACACGGCGGGUGCUAACGUCCGUCGUGAAGAGGGAAACAACCCAGACCGCCAGCUAAGGUCCCAAAGUCAUGGUUAAGUGGGAAACGAUGUGGGAAGGCACAGACAGCCAGGAUGUUGGCUUAGAAGCAGCCAUCAUUUAAAGAAAGCGUAAUAGCUCACUGGUCGAGUCGGCCUGCGCGGAAGAUGUAACGGGGCUAAACCAUGCACCGAAGCUGCGGCAGCGACACUAUGUGUUGUUGGGUAGGGGAGCGUUCUGUAAGCCUGCGAAGGUGACCUGUGAGGGUUGCUGGAGGUAUCAGAAGUGCGAAUGCUGACAUAAGUAACGAUAAAGCGGGUGAAAAGCCCGCUCGCCGGAAGACCAAGGGUUCCUGUCCAACGUUAAUCGGGGCAGGGUGAGUCGACCCCUAAGGCGAGGCCGAAAGGCGUAGUCGAUGGGAAACAGGUUAAUAUUCCUGUACUUGGUGUUACUGCGAAGGGGGGACGGAGAAGGCUAUGUUAGCCGGGCGACGGUUGUCCCGGUUUAAGCAUGUAGGCUGAUUGUCCAGGCAAAUCCGGAUAAUCAAGGCUGAGGUGUGAUGACGAGGCACUACGGUGCUGAAGUAACAAAUGCCCUGCUUCCAGGAAAAGCCUCUAAGCAUCAGGUAACAUCAAAUCGUACCCCAAACCGACACAGGUGGUCAGGUAGAGAAUACCAAGGCGCUUGAGAGAACUCGGGUGAAGGAACUAGGCAAAAUGGUGCCGUAACUUCGGGAGA